ACGUAGGGGGCAAGCGUUGUUCGGAAUGACUGGGCGUAAAGCGCGUGUAGGCGGACUCAGAAGUCGGGAGUGAAAGCCCCGGGCUUAACGCGGGAAGUGCGCUCGAAACCAUGGGUCUUGAGAACCGGAGGGGAUAGGGGAAUUCCCAGUGUAGAGGUGAAAUUCGUAGAGAUCGGGAGGAACACCGGUGGCGAAGGCGCCGAUCUGGACGGUUUCUGACGCUGAGACGCGAAAGCGUGGGUAGCAAACAG
RNAcentral lists this ribosomal RNA (251 nucleotides) under uncultured prokaryote. Its description in RNAcentral is "partial 16S rRNA". It matches the Rfam family "Bacterial small subunit ribosomal RNA", at positions 525 to 775 of the family's 1533-position model. The record is from RNAcentral.